GACGAACGCUGGCGGCGUGCUUAACACAUGCAAGUCGAACGGAAAGGCCCUGCUUUUGUGGGGUGCUCGAGUGGCGAACGGGUGAGUAACACGUGAGUAACCUGCCCCUGACUUUGGGAUAACUUCAGGAAACUGGGGCUAAUACCGGAUAGGAGCUCCUGCUGCAUGUUGGGGGUUGGAAAGUUUCGGCGGUUGGGGAUGGACUCGCGGCUUAUCAGCUUGUUGGUGGGGUAGUGGCUUACCAAGGCUUUGACGGGUAGCCGGCCUGAGAGGGUGACCGGCCACAAUGGGACUGAGAUACGGCGCAGACUCCUACGGGAGGCAGCGGUGGGGAAUAUUGCACAAUGGGCGGAAGCCUGAUGCAGCAGCGCCGCGUGCGGGAUGACGGCCUUCGGGUUGUAAACCGCUUUCGCCUGUGACGAAGCGUGAUUGACGGUAAUGGGUAAAGAAGCACCGGCUAACUACGUG
This 468-nucleotide ribosomal RNA is filed under the name uncultured bacterium. Its description in RNAcentral is "partial 16S ribosomal RNA". It matches the Rfam family "Bacterial small subunit ribosomal RNA", at positions 28 to 507 of the family's 1533-position model. The record is from RNAcentral.